Molecule: non-coding RNA, 135 nt
Organism: Triticum aestivum (bread wheat)
Lineage: Eukaryota; Viridiplantae; Streptophyta; Magnoliopsida; Poales; Poaceae
Source: Rfam
UUAGUACUCCCUCCGUCCGAAAAUACUUGUCAUCAAAAUGAAUAAAUAGGGAUAUAUCUAGAACUAAAACAUGUUUAGAUACAUCUUAUUUUAUCCAUUUUGAUGACAAGUAUUUCCGGACGGAGGGAAUACAUA